This is a long non-coding RNA of Cyprinus carpio carpio, 439 nucleotides long. The record is from Ensembl. NCBI's taxonomy places the organism in Eukaryota, Metazoa, Chordata, Actinopteri, Cypriniformes, Cyprinidae.
AAAAAAAUAAUGAGAAAUAUAGCUGCAAGCAGCGAUGGCGGGCUCAAGCCAUCAGCGCAAACGCCACCCCGGUGGCAUCAGGUAAACUGUGCCCAGCGGGCACAUGCAUUUACAGUAAUCCUCUGGCACUCAGGUUUUAAGGGAUACGGCAAUUAACGGGUUAAUCGGAAGCAUCAAGACUUUGAAAUCACAUACACAGAACAAUAUUCAUUAAGAAAGUGAAAUUAAAUGAUUAAUAAACUAUUUAUUCGAACCCUUGCUAUUUUCUAUUCUAAUAAGAGUCUUGGCUGUGGAACACCUGUAAUAGAGUUGGCUAGCUGGAUGCAAAUAAAGUCAUGCCUUUUAUUUGUUCCCCUGUUUGCUAUUUCACAUUCCUGUCACUGAAGCGUUGUGGCCAAAGACACAGAAGGUAACUGAAACAAUGUGGUUUAAGUGUGAU